Molecule: long non-coding RNA, 6144 nt
Organism: Equus caballus (horse)
Lineage: Eukaryota; Metazoa; Chordata; Mammalia; Perissodactyla; Equidae
Source: Ensembl
GGUGGCCGUGCCGCAGCCUCCCUCCUGACGGCGCAUCCUGGGCGAGCCGCUGGUGCAGACCCAGGCUGCCCCGUGGCCCCUACUUCCUGAGCUUGCUGACAGAGCCGUCUGUACAGCGCGCCGUGCAUUCCAGGCCGUCUUGACUGCGGGGCCCUUUCUCCCGGCCCAACUUCAACAAAUACAGACAGACCUCGCCAUCCGGCUCUCUGCGAGGGCUGGCACCACGGCCCGUGAUGCUGGGCACGGGAGUCGCUCUGGCCAGGGCAGCAGAUGUGGGCUUUCUGAGCAGCUCCAGCUCCAGGCGCGGGAGGAAGGGGCCUGGGGAGCCGCCACCGUGGGGGGACAGUAGGUCUGGGGGCCAAGAGCCGGGCUGAGCCGUCCAGGGGCAGCGGGCUCUGCGGGGGUCUCCCCUCCCUGGCGAGGGUGAAGUCCUUAUGUCGGGCAGCUCAUUGGAAUGUCUCAGUGCUCUCUGCGAUUCCCACGGCCGUGGCCCAAAAGCGACCUCCAGGCAGAUGGGAAAAUCCGCCUUUUUGUAGGAACAUGAAAAAGUCUUUGAAGACUGCUCGUCUCUGCAUCCUGUUUGGAAAUGUAGGAGGGCCUGAGCAAAUGGAAAGCGCCCGUUCCGUUAGGGUAUCAGGUCUGGAGUAGAGAAGGGUGGAAUUUGGGCCUUCCUUGGAAAGUUCACAAGAAUGAAACCUGUUUAGAGAACAGUUCCUGUGGAGGAUGGCUAAUGCCUGGAGUGUGUUACCAAAAGUCUCACUUUUCAGAGAUUUUUAUAGAGAAAAUAACCUCAUUGUUUCAGGAGACCGAUCAUGUGUUGUUUUCUUAUGGGGCGUUUACAUCAUUUGUUUAAUCCAGGAGCCCCAGCCCUCAGCCACGGCAGACAUUUCUGAUCGAUCCACAGACUGGAGAUUUAGCCUCAGAACCUUUCUUAACACAGCUCUCCAUUUCCAAUCAGUAAACACGAGUGGAAACCCUCCUGCCGACUCUGGACUCCACGAUCCCACGUUCAUCACCAUUUGCGGAGAAACGCUUUAAACAUCACAGUAUCCUCUAACAACAGCAACACGUACCUGAGGAACGCCAUACCGCGGAUGCAGCCUCACGCGGUCCCGUGUCGCCGCUCUACCCACAAGAAAACAGACGCCUGAGUCGGCCAGGGUCCCUCAGCCAGUGAGAGGUUCUGGGAUGCGGACCUGGGGUCCCCACCUUCCUAGUCUGUGAUCUUGUCAUUGGAGGACGUUCUCUAGACCAUAUUCCACUUGUCUUACAAUUAUGCCAAAGACUGGAACAUCAGCUUCAGAGAUGUUUGGGACCAAGGAUUCUUGCUCAAUACACCUUUGUGCUCUACAACCUUCCUUGUGGUGUCCAGUGCAGGAAAGGCAGAAAACUUCCCUUGGGCUCUGCUGUGUGACUUGUUUGAGUAACUCUACCUCUCUGAGCCUCAGUUUCCUCAUCUGUAGAAUGGGGAGACUAAUGGAACUUUGCCUGCCUUCCAGGAGUACACUGAGGGUCACCUGACAUAGUCGAUUUGAACGUGCUUUGCAAACUGUGAAGUGUUCUGGAUGCUUGUAAGUCACGUGUGAGCAAGCUGUGGGGAAUCGUCUCUCCAUCAGACGCGUGUGUUUGAUGUUGGCUUUUAAUCUCAAACGGCCAAGAGAGGGGAGCCUUGAAUGCCAAUGGGAUUUGAAACUCCUUCAAGGGUUCCGUAUACUUUCUAAGUUCCAGGUUGGCCGAGAUUAUGCAACGGCUGUGAUGAACCCUCCUCCUUUCUGGACUCAUCAAGGGCUCAUCACUUGUCCCAUAGGCUGGGCAAAAUCUUGAAGUGACACCAUGUUGGGGGUUGCGGGAAAGACGCCUUACAAGUGACAGAAUCUAAUCCUUCGUUCCCACGAGGAAUAAUGAUAAUGGUACCAGCUUCUGCUUGCCGAGUCCCAUCGAUGUACUAGUCGCUCUACAUGUGAUGACUGCAGAGUAGGCACCUGGUGCCCACUUUACAGAUGGGGAACUUGUGGCUUGGACAGCUCAAUAAGAAGGAAACUUCUCUACGUCACAAAAUUUGGAGGUGGCAGAAUUGAGAGUGGGAUCCAUGCUCUUUCACCCAAAGUCCAUGUUCCCUUUAGGACGCCAUGCUGGUUUUUGCUUUCCGCCAGACAACCAAUCAGCUCACCAAUCAACAAAUGAACAACCAUCCACCCAACCAAUAAAAACCAACCAAUAAUUAAUCAAUCAACUAACCAUCCAUCCAUCCAACCAACCAACCAACCAGCUAAUGAACAACCAUUCACAACUAAUCAAUAAUUAGUGAACCAACCAACCAACUGGUUAACAACCAGCCACCAUCCAAGCAACAACAUGCGUUGCUACCAGUCGUGUGCUCAGCACUGAGCUUUGGGACGGAGAGAACCCCCUGUCCCAUCCUCAGGGAACUGCCGGCCUGUGGGAAAGCAAGGACCACGGUCCUGCUCACAGCACCGGCCCCAAUUGUCUGUUCCGCAUCUGCCUCCUCAGCUGGGUGGGACUUCCCCAAGGCGAGGGUGACACCUUGGUCGUCCUUGUAGAGUUAGAGCCCAGAACAGGAGCAGCACAUGCAUGCACACAUUCACACAUGCAUGCACACACACACAACAUGGAAUAACUCAGAACACUAUGGAAUGAAUGAAGGAGUCUUAUCAGAAGUGGCUCGGAGGGUCAGAUCCAUCUCAGAGGGUUUGUGCGAAAGGAAGGUUAGACGAUGCUCUGGUCUGGAGAAUUCCCUGCUGGGUGGAGCAAAACAAAUACUUCCAGGGACGCUGCCUUCUGCUGAAGAGCUCUCACUGGGCCCUGUCCUGGACGGGGAGCACGCCGUGGCGGAAAGAGCCCCAGAUUGGGGUCAGGGGUCUGAGCCCAGCUGAGCCACUAACACCUUGGGUGGCCUUGGACGCCUAGCCUCAGUCACCCCCCCUCCACCGCCGCUCCCACAUUUUAUGGACGAGGCCACUGAGGCCCCAAGACCUGAGUUCGCCCCUCUCCAAGGCCCCUUCCAGCUCUGGCAUUUCCAGCCUUUUCUGGCUGCUCAUUAACGGAGUAUUUUCGUUUUCCAAUCCGCAUUCCAGCCUCCUCCCGCGAGCCUCGACCCCUCUGGCAGGGGAGCGGGCACUGUGCGCAGUUCUCUGGAACGCUCCGGGGACCCUCGCCCGUCUCCCACCGGAGCGGCCAGAGGCUAACUGGCAGGCACGGUCGCCUCCCGUACGGGCCCCGCAGACGUGCGCUCGGGGCCGGGGAGCCGGCGCUGCCGGGAAGCACGCGCUCCAUCUCUCUGUCUCUGUUACAGGCCCCGCGGUUCACCGUCUGCUCGGAAAUUGGGUAAGUGUUUUCUUACCCAAACUUGAGUAACCGCCGCUGAAAUGUAUGGUUGGAAAGUCUUGGCUCUCAGAACAGACCACACAGUGACUCGCCCGGUGAAACCCAACGCCCUGGGCUUACUCGGUUUUACCUAAGACACCGCUACAGGAAGAAAUGGGUUUGGAGGCGAUGGAAGUCUUUCCAUCCAUUUCUGAGGGGUUUUAUUAGCAGGAGGAAGGCAGAGGGGUGUCGGUGUGGCUCUGCUUCUCAGCCUGGGCUGGGCGUGGGGGCAGGAAAGCAGGUCCGAGAGGGGGCGAAGGGUGCUCCCCGGGAGCCUGUGGGCCCUGGAGGCUGGCGGCGGCUGCCUGCUGCGUGUGUUCCGUGGGAUCCGGAGCCAGCGAGGAUUCCAGCCCCGGCCCACCGUGUCUUGUGCCACAUUCUGGCAGGCUGUUCGACAUUCAGUGCGGGCCCCAUUUUUAAUCAGCCUCUUUCACCCACACAAGCCAAGAAAAAGCUGUAAAGUCAGAAGGAACGCUGGCAUCUGUUCCAGGCCUCAGAACAGAGCAGAUAUUGUCCCGGCCGCGCAGUUCUCGGCCGCCCUCAUUCUUGUCGACCACACAAAUGGUUCCAGUCAGCUUCCAGAGGCUGUCCGUGGCGUUUCAAGAUGUUUGCUCGCUGCCUUCGCAGGUCAAUUCUCCUCCAGCCUUGGAAGUCACCUUCCCACCCACGCUCUCUGCCUGACACAGAAGGGAAGAUGAGGCGGGAAUUGCUCGUGUGUGUGUGUGUGUGUGUGUGUGUGUGUGUGCCAUUGACAGAUUUCAAUUUUCUAAGUGAGCUGAAAUGCCCUCCUGAGCAGCCGCCACCCCUGACCAAGGAGAUGCCCAAGGAGAGGCCACGGGGCCUCUGCAUUAUGUGGGGAGUGCUGGUGUGGGCGGUUCUCUCCUCGGAACUCGGGAAACACGGCUGCAAGACCACGCCCCACCUCUCACGUGACCCUCACCUGUUGAUGGGGCCAUGCCCGCCUUUCCACCCUGUCCCCGGGGGCUUGGGGCUAUCCCGUCUGAAACCCCUUUUUGGGGCUGACAGUGGCUGUGUCAUUCACCUUCUGCAGAGGACACAGGGCCUCAAGGCCAUGGGGGACUUAAGACGUUUUCCUCUUUCAUCAGAUUGUGUGGAAGCUGAAGGCCUUUUAUGCCGACCUUCCAGGGAGCAGGUUAACAAGGCAGAAAGGACAAGGGUCUCGUUGCUACUGAACAAAGUCAGGUUUGUUGACACAGCAGCAGCCGGGACUCGGAAAUCAAGUCCCACGACAGAGGACUGGCCUCCCCACCCCCACCCCCCGCAGAAAGAGCUGUCUGUGCAAGAAGGUAAUCAUUCCCAGUGGAACUUUCUAGAUUGGAGGCUUCACGUCUGAUCUGUUUCUGUUGAGUGAUGGGAACAAAUCUGGAGAAGCCCUCGUGGUGGGACAAACACGUCGUGCUGUGCUGAAAGCUGCCGCUGGCCAGGCGUGGUGCUGGAGACCUCCGUGUGAUGUCUUUUCAUAGCCUUUAAGGCCCUUCCUUUCCUGUGGGGAAAGGAACGAUAAACUUCGAUUUCCCACCGUGCGUUCGGCCAGGAGGGUAAGGUGUUGGCUCCCUCCCUCCCCCCGGGCUCUGUCGUCAGCCCGCUGCUCUGACUCAGAGACCAGGGUGUCUGAUGUAGGCCUGGGGUGUCCAGCAGACAUGCCCGUGACCCCCAGCCUAGAGAUUGCAUAAUGAGGGAGAAAGGUCGAAACCCUCCCCUGCCUCUGUCGUAGGCUGGCCUUCUGGAACUGGACACUGAGACAGAGGUUGGGAACAGGAUUGUUUGUGUGGUUUUUCUUUUGGAUUAAUUCUUUGGCGGGAAGGCAGAGGACGCAGGACUGGGCAGAGGGAGACGGUGAACUGCUCUGUGGCCUGGCACAGCCCGGGACGGUGUGAUGGGGCAGUCGACGUGAAGGCUUCGUCAGAGUCCACACGGCCUAAAUGCCCAGGUAGACAUGCCGGCAAGGGCUGGCUUGGGCCAGGCGGCUCUCUGCAGCCGGGACAGACCUCGAAGGGGCUGUCAGCUAGCUGACCACACUCCCCGCAGCGGGCGACCUGAAGGCAGUUUAAUUCUAGACCAGUGCUCUCUAACUGUGCCCUCGGACCCUGGGAGUUCUGUGAUAAAGAAAGACCCGUGAAUGGUUUCCAAAUUGCAAAACAUAUGUCUUUAUACCUGAAAUAAAGCCACAGCCGAAGGUUGCCCUUGUCCGUUCUAGACGUGAUGAGCAAACGUUAGCAGUGCGGGCUGCACGAUGGCAGACGUGUCGAGGACGGAAUCGCAGACACGUCUCCAGCCGGGGACUUGGGGCCAGUCACGUAGCUACUUACCCACUGUCCCUUGACCAAACUCUGGUCAGGCCCCUCUGGGCUCUUUCUCAGCCGGGCUUUGACCUUGCGCAGGCCCUCAAGAGCCAAGUCUUAGCAAGAACCCUGCUAAGUCAGUUUAGCCAGAAUCGCCCAGCCUCCAUAUCAGGCUGCCUCUACAUCCGCCCAGUCCUCGUCGCUCCCCCACCCCGGCCGGUCUGACCCCCCGGCCCGCCUGCAGCAGGAACCCUGUUCCGUCGGUUUGGCCGGGACCCUCUCCCUCACCCCUGAGGUUUCUCCUAUUAAUUUUCCAUCCAUGGACCCCCACCUGCGCCUUGGCUAUAAAUUCUCACUUUUCCUUGUUGAAUUCAGAGUCGAACCCCAUCUCUCUUUCCUCCUGCAAAAUCUCCUUGCAGUGAGCCCUAACCGAUUGUGACAGUCCUGAAUAAAUCUG